Molecule: ribosomal RNA, 254 nt
Filed under: uncultured bacterium
Lineage: Bacteria
Description: partial 16S ribosomal RNA
Rfam family: Bacterial small subunit ribosomal RNA
Source: RNAcentral
UACGAAGGGGGCUAGCGUUGUUCGGAAUCACUGGGCGUAAAGCGCACGUAGGCGGGUCGUUAAGUCGGAGGUGAAAUCCCAAGGCUCAACCUUGGAACUGCCUUCGAUACUGGCGAUCUUCGAGUCCGGGAGAGGUGAGUGGAACUCCGAGUGUAGAGGUGAAAUUCGUAGAUAUUCGGAAGAACACCAGUGGCGAAGGCGGCUCACUGGCCCGGUACUGACGCUGAGGUGCGAAAGCGUGGGGAGCAAACAGG